CAUUAUACAGCAAUCUUACACAACCACACAGAUUCUUUUGCCGGAGUCCGAAGUUUCAUCUAUGGACGCAGCACCACAAACCAGCGGAUUGAAUCGUGGUGGGGGAUCCUGAGGAAACAAAGUGCACAGUUUUGGAUCAACGUUUUCCAAACCCUCUAAGAUGACGGCUACUUCUCUGGUGAUUUCUUGGAUAGGAGCCUGAUCCAAUUCUGCUUCCUAAACCUUGUUCAGGAUGAACUUGACGAAGUCGUGAGAACCUGGAAUUCACACAAGAUAAGAGCAAAGGCAGCUGAUGGUGUGAUUGGAGGUCGGCGGAUUUUGAUGUACACACUUCCAGGCAUGUUCGGCGCAGAGGACAAUCUCAAGCCCAUACACAUGAAUGAAUUGGCCCUUUGUAGGGAGGAGUGCACCCCCAAAAGCCAAUAUACAUGUGAUGAAACUGUAUUUGAUCUCUGCUGUCUUCUGAUGCAGGAAAGGGGAUGGGAUCCUCCUACAGAUGCAUUUUCCGCUGCUGAACUGUACACCUUAUUAAGAACUGAAAUACUGCAAAGUGUCUGAGGGUGGACAAUUCUCUCUGCACAAAGAAGAAUCAUUUGUACUGUACAAUACAGGACUGUCUCAGAAAAUUAGAAUAUUGUGAUAAAGUCCUUUUAUUUUCUGUAAUGCAAAAAUGUCAUACAUUCUGGAUUCAUUACAA
Molecule: long non-coding RNA, 697 nt
Organism: Cololabis saira (Pacific saury)
Lineage: Eukaryota; Metazoa; Chordata; Actinopteri; Beloniformes; Belonidae
Exons: 3
Source: RefSeq, a predicted model, not a curated record